RNAcentral lists this ribosomal RNA (500 nucleotides) under uncultured bacterium. RNAcentral describes it as "partial 16S ribosomal RNA". It matches the Rfam family "Bacterial small subunit ribosomal RNA", at positions 28 to 523 of the family's 1533-position model. The record is from RNAcentral.
GUUGAACGCUGGCGGCAUGCUUUACACAUGCAAGUCGAACGGCAGCACGGGCUUCGGCCUGGUGGCGAGUGGCGAACGGGUGAGUAAUAUAUCGGAACGUACCCAAGAGUGGGGGAUAACGUAGCGAAAGUUACGCUAAUACCGCAUACGAUCUACGGAUGAAAGUGGGGGAUCGCAAGACCUCAUGCUCCUGGAGCGGCCGAUAUCUGAUUAGCUAGUUGGUGAGGUAAAGGCUCACCAAGGCGACGAUCAGUAGCUGGUCUGAGAGGACGACCAGCAACACUGGAACUGAAACUCGGUCGAGACUCCGACGGGGGGCAGCGGUGGGGAAUUUUGGACAAGGGGCGCAAGCCUGAUCCAGCAAUGCCGCGUGAGUGAAGAAGGCCUUCGGGUGGUAAAGCUCUUUUGUCAGGGAAGAAACGGUAGAGGCUAAUAUCCUUUGCUGAUGACGGUACCUGAAGAAUAAGCACCGGCUAACUACGUGCCAGCAGCCGCCGUAA